Molecule: ribosomal RNA, 428 nt
Filed under: Verrucomicrobiota bacterium
Lineage: Bacteria; Pseudomonadati; Verrucomicrobiota
Description: Verrucomicrobia bacterium partial 16S ribosomal RNA
Rfam family: Bacterial small subunit ribosomal RNA
Source: RNAcentral
UAGGGAAUCUUCCGCAAUGGACGAAAGUCUGACGGAGCAACGCCGCGUGAGUGAAGAAGGAUUUCGGUUCGUAAAACUCUGUUGUUAGGGAAGAAAAAAUGUAUAGUAACUAUAUACAAAAGAGACGGUACCUAACCAGAAAGCCACGGCUAACUACGUGCCAGCAGCCGCGGUAAUACGUAGGUGGCAAGCGUUAUCCGGAUUCAUUGGGCGUAAAGCGCUCGUAGGCGGUCUGUUAGGUCGGCAAGUUAAAUCCGGGGCUCAACCCCCGUCCGCUUCCGAUACCGGCAGACUUGAGUUUGGUAGGGGAAGGUGGAAUUCCUAGUGUAGCGGUGGAAUGCGCAGAUAUUAGGAAGAACACCGGUGGCGAAGGCGGCCUUCUGGGCCAUAACUGACGCUGAGGAGCGAAAGCUAGGGGAGCGAACAGG